RNAcentral lists this ribosomal RNA (568 nucleotides) under Vishniacozyma victoriae. RNAcentral describes it as "partial large subunit ribosomal RNA". It matches the Rfam family "Eukaryotic large subunit ribosomal RNA", at positions 94 to 652 of the family's 3401-position model. The record is from RNAcentral. Lineage: Eukaryota; Fungi; Basidiomycota; Tremellomycetes; Tremellales; Bulleribasidiaceae.
UGAACCGGGAUGAGCUCAAAUUUAAAAUCUGGCGUCUUUCAGGCGUCCGAGUUGUAAUCUAUAGAGGCGUUUUCCGCGCCGGACCGCGUCCAAGUCUCUUGGAAUAGAGUAUCAAAGAGGGUGACAAUCCCGUACUUGACGCGACAACCGGUGCUCUGUGAUACGUUCUCAAUGAGUCGAGUUGUUUGGGAAUGCAGCUCUAAAUGGGUGGUAAAUUCCAUCUAAGGCUAAAUAUUGGCGAGAGACCGAUAGCGAACAAGUACCGUGAGGGAAAGAUGAAAAGCACUUUGGAAAGAGAGUUAAACAGCACGUGAAAUUGUUAAAAGGGAAACGAUUGAAGUCAGUCGUGUGAAAGGUAUUCAGCCGUCUCUGGCGGUGUAUUUGCCUUUCACGGGUCAACAUCAGUUUGAUCCGGUAGAAAAAGGCGGGAGGAAGGUGGCACCCUCGGGUGUGUUAUAGCCUCCUGUCAUAUGUGCCGGACCAGACUGAGGAACGCAGCUUGCCGCAAGGCCGGGGUUCGCCCACGUACAAGCUUAGGAUGUUGACAUAAUGGCUUUAAACGACCCGU